RNAcentral lists this ribosomal RNA (497 nucleotides) under uncultured bacterium. RNAcentral describes it as "partial 16S ribosomal RNA". It matches the Rfam family "Bacterial small subunit ribosomal RNA", at positions 28 to 507 of the family's 1533-position model. The record is from RNAcentral.
GAUGAACGCUGGCGGCGUGCCUAAUACAUGCAAGUCGAGCGAACAGACGAGGAGCUUGCUCCUCUGACGUUAGCGGCGGACGGGUGAGUAACACGUGGAUAACCUACCUAUAAGACUGGGAUAACUUCGGGAAACCGGAGCUAAUACCGGAUAAUAUAUUGAACCGCAUGGUUCAAUAGUGAAAGACGGUUUUGCUGUCACUUAUAGAUGGAUCCGCGCCGCAUUAGCUAGUUGGUAAGGUAACGGCUUACCAAGGCAACGAUGCGUAGCCGACCUGAGAGGGUGAUCGGCCACACUGGAACUGAGACACGGUCAAGACGCCUACGGGAGGCAGCAGUAGGGAAUCGUCCGCAAUGGGCGAAAGCCUGACGGAGCAACGCCGCGUGAGUGAUGAAGGUCUUCGGAUCGUAAAACUCUGUUAUUAGGGAAGAACAAAUGUGUAAGUAACUAUGCACGUCUUGACGGUACCUAAUCAGAAAGCCACGGCUAACUACGUG